Molecule: ribosomal RNA, 408 nt
Filed under: uncultured bacterium
Lineage: Bacteria
Description: partial 16S ribosomal RNA
Rfam family: Bacterial small subunit ribosomal RNA
Source: RNAcentral
GACGAACGCUGGCGGCGUGCUUAACACAUGCAAGUCGAACGAAGUGGCGAACGGGUGAGUAACGCGUAAUCAACCUGCCCUUCAGAGGGGGACAACAGUUGGAAACGACUGCUAAUACCGCAUACUGAAGGAGGGGAUGGCGUGUGAUUAGCUAGUUGGAGGGGUAACGGCCCACCAAGGCGAUGAGCAGUAGGCUGGCUGGGAGGAUGAACGGCCACAAUGGGACUUGGACAAGGGCCAGACUCCUACGGGAGGCAGCAGUUGGGAAUUUUCCGCAAUGGGAGAAAGUCUGACGGAGCAAAGCCGGGUGAGUGAUGGCGGCCUUCGGGUUGUAAAGCUCUGUUAAGCGGGACGCGGUACCGGAAUAGAAAGCCACGGCUAACUACGUGCCAGCAGCCGCGGUAAUAC